UUUGAAGCAGAUUUUUCUUGG
Molecule: non-coding RNA, 21 nt
Filed under: Caenorhabditis elegans
Lineage: Eukaryota; Metazoa; Nematoda; Chromadorea; Rhabditida; Rhabditidae
Source: RNAcentral